AAACCAACAGGGAUUGCCUUAGUAACGGCGAGUGAAGCGGCAAAAGCUCAAAUUUGAAAUCGGCCCCCAGGUCGAGUUGUAAUUUGUAGAUUGUAUCUUGAGAGCGGAUUAAAGUCUGUUGGAACACAGCGCCUUAGAGGGUGACAGCCCCGUAAAAUCUAUUCUCAUUGUAAGAUACUUUCGAAGAGUCGAGUUGUUUGGGAAUGCAGCUCUAAGUGGGAGGUAAAUUCCUUCUAAAGCUAAAUAUUGACGAGAGACCGAUAGCGAACAAGUACUGUGAAGGAAAGAUGAAAAGCACUUUGAAAAGAGAGUGAAAAAGUACGUGAAAUUGUUAAAAGGGAAGGGUAUUGAAUCAGACUUGGUGCUGUUGUUCAACUGUGUUUCGGCAUAGUGUACUCAGCAGUACUAGGCCAAGGUGGGGUGUUUGGGAGUGAAAAAGAAGUUGGAAGGUAACUCUUCGGAGUGUUAUAGCCUACUUUCAUAGCUCCUCAGGCGCCUCAGGACUGCGCUUCGGCAAGGACCUUGGCAUAAUGAUUCUAUACCGCCCGUCUUGAAACACGGACC
Molecule: ribosomal RNA, 564 nt
Filed under: Geotrichum silvicola
Lineage: Eukaryota; Fungi; Ascomycota; Dipodascomycetes; Dipodascales; Dipodascaceae
Description: eukaryotic LSU rRNA
Rfam family: Eukaryotic large subunit ribosomal RNA
Source: RNAcentral